ACGGGAGGCAGCAGUGGGGGAUAUUGCACAAUGGGGGAAACCCUGAUGCAGCGACGCCGCGUGAGUGAAGAAGUAUUUCGGUAUGUAAAGCUCUAUCAGCAGGGAAGAAAAUGACGGUACCUGACUAAGAAGCUCCGGCUAAAUACGUGCCAGCAGCCGCGGUAAUACGUAUGGAGCAAGCGUUAUCCGGAUUUACUGGGUGUAAAGGGAGCGUAGACGGCGAGGCAAGUCUGAUGUGAAAGCCAUGGGCUCAACCCAUGAACUGCAUUGGAAACUGUCUUGCUAGAGUGUCGGAGAGGUAAGCGGAAUUCCUAGUGUAGCGGUGAAAUGCGUAGAUAUUAGGAGGAACACCAGUGGCGAAGGCGGCUUACUGGACGAUAACUGACGUUGAGGCUCGAAAGCGUGGGGAGCAAACAGGAUUAGAUACCCUGGUA
RNAcentral lists this ribosomal RNA (434 nucleotides) under uncultured bacterium. RNAcentral describes it as "partial 16S ribosomal RNA". It matches the Rfam family "Bacterial small subunit ribosomal RNA", at positions 341 to 792 of the family's 1533-position model. The record is from RNAcentral. RNAcentral also lists the same sequence under 2 other names.